UAAGGCAGGGCGAGGCGGCGGCUGCCAGAAAGUUGCAAUAAGCAACCAUGAAACCUUUGUUUAUGGCUCUCUAUAGUUGGUUCUUAGAUGAAAUAUUAAACAUCUCCAGUGAUUGCUUGCAGGUCAAACCGUCAAAGUAUCUUUAGUCUCCGUGGUAAUUUUGUGUUAUGUCUCGUGGUACUGUUCUCAUAUGUUGUGUUGAUCCUGCCUCAUGAAUUUAGGGGCAUCCUAUGUAAAAAGUUAUAGCGUGGAAAUGGUUGAUGAAUACUUGUCAUGUGUUGUUACUUGUCAGGCCUCGAGGCUUAUGGCAGAUGUGUCCAUUAGAUCGGGCGUUGCCAUCUUGGUGAAUAGCCACGAGCAAUAUCCCCGCAAUUACGGCUGAUAUGACAACUCUACCACACUUAGUUUCUUCCUUUUCAAGAUUUGUUAAAUGCGCUUCACUUGAGAGUUACGUUGCAUAACGGCAUCUCUAAGAGACCCACAAAAAUUAGGUAUAUGUACACAUUUGUUCACUAUUGCAAUCCAAUGAGGACCAGUCAGCGAAGCAGUCCGGACGUCUCCGUGGUCUAUAUCUCUUUUCUUUCUCUUCACAUGCAUGACUCCCCUCUCCUCUCUCUCUUCCCAACAAGACACCAUACCUUAAAUAGCCAUCAUAUGUAUGGUCCUCAUCUACAUUUUUUUCUCCCAGCCGGAUACUUUGUAAUCAGCGUUGGAUGGUUCUCUCUCAUAUCAUGUUCGUGGACCAUGCCUGGACACAAAAACAGAUAUAUACCAAAGAAAUUUACGGGUCGGUGUUGGAGAUGACCUAAGGAAAUAAAAUGAAGCAAGCAAAAAAGGAAGAUUUUGACGUCAACAGGGUUUCCCAUGAGGCCCGGACUAAGAGGACUAUACCACUACAAUGCAUCGAGAAAUAAGAGAUCUAGUAACUCCCGGGCGUCCUCAGCGAUUUGGAUUCCUGGCCGUUGGAUCUGGCUGCUUGAUGCGAUUUGGGCCAUUGGAUCUUCCUCAGAAAUCACCUCAGCCGUCGGAUCAGAUUGAAAUACUAUUGCAAUGAAUAGUAUUAGAACUAGGAUGCCACCGCAUGUAAUCCCCAGAGCCCGCCGAAGGCAUUUUCGUCACUUCACGUGGUUGGAAAAGUCCCCAAUAGUGUGGAGAGUGAGCACCGGGUCAUUGCCCUCCACCUCCCACCUGGUCUCCUCUCUUCCCGCCUCCUCCCACGAAACCCUAGCCGCCGCGCCGUGCAGCCGCCGCCGCCGCGCCCUCCUCCUCCUUCCACCUCCUGGCCGGCGCCCAACCACCGCGCCCUCUCCCUCCCCCUACCGCCGGCCUCUCCCUAGGUGGUGGCCAGAUCUGCCACGGCCACAGCCACGAUGGGGGCUUCUGGAUCCGCGCCGCCGUCGAGCUGGGCGCGACCAAUAACCUCGGACCACACCGCCGCCACCAUGGAUGCACCAUAUCAAGGUCUCCUCCCUCGUCCCCUAUGCUUCUUCUUCUUCUUCUUCUUCUCCUUCUCUCUCUCUCUCUCUCUCUCUCUCCCUCUCUCUCUCUCUCUCAAUCCCUGAUGUGUUUCGAUUUGGUAGGCUUGGUUCCCUCCCUGAUCAUGAUGCGUGUAGACGCAUGCACAAGUUAGGUCUUGUGAUCUGUUUCAAGAACAGCUGCUGCUGCUAGCCUUGUAGUUAGUUAUAUCCUGUUCGUAUGUAUGAUGUGUACCCGGUGCUUCGUAGGUAGUGUGUGUAACGAGCUUUUGUUGUCAUGUACCUUUGGCUGGACCAUUGCACUGGUUAUGUAGAUAUAUCCUUUUGAAGUUCUUAUAUCCCGGUGCACGAAAACCACACAGGCCUUUAGAAUAUGUACGUGAAUUGUUUGACUAUGGUCACCUGACCACUACGUGGAUGGUUGGUCCUUCUGCCAUUAGGCAGGAUAUCUUUUGUUUUUCUCUACGAACUGCAGGUGCUUGAAAUAAGUCAGCUGGUAGCCAGUUCUUCAAUAAGAACAACUGAGACAGAUUUGAAACAUGUUUUAGACGUUUCAGAGGUGGUAUAUAGCAGUUCAUUGUCCGUGUAUAUUUUACUGAGACUACAAAUAAAUUUUAAAGCUACUGAUUUAGGCUGAGUAAGCAAAACAUAUAAACAGGAAUAAAGUAAAUUAUUCUUUUAGCAAAUCAGAGUGAGCUUUAUUGAUCCAGGGAUUGUCUAUAGGAAUUGCAAGAAAAUCAUGAGGAAUUUUUUUCAGGUCGCAAUGGCUGACAAAGAGCUUCACGUUCAUGGUUCACCAGGUUCUGCUGGCUCCACUAACAGUUGCCUGCAAGCACUUGCACAGGUCAGCUGAGAUACGUCUUGCACACCUACGAGUUGAUUCUUCUAGGGAUCUAAUUUUCUAAACGAACUUUCAGUUGCAAUGCACAAAUAUGUUGCUAGAUGAGGUUUAGAACUUAGUUGGCAGAAGCUAUUUUAAGAUUAGUAUAUUGUAGUAUUUCUCUAAGGGAAUUCUGUGAAUAUUUGGUCAUUGCCAACAAAUCUAAAAUAGAAUGGAAGUGAUUGUUUGGAAUGGAUAUUACUCUGCUGCUCAUGUCUGUUACUUUUCUUGCAUACAAUAUUUUGCUUACAUGUUUACUAAUAAACUUCUGUGAGGACCCCUGCUGGAGACAUACGGAGUUGAGGAAUAAUGCAAGUGAAUGGAGCUUGUUGAGUUGUUGUUCGCCUGAUCAUACGUGAUACGUCGAGUGUGAACUACCCAUUCUCCCCUCUCCUACAGUCUGUAACAAAAGCGUUAGGCCUGAGUGUGCGAGUCUGUGAGAGUAGAUGGUAGGUCAUUGGAUAUAAAAGGGGCCUUUAGUAGUCCAUUUAUCUUUCCAGAAUGAAGUUGGAAGAGCACGAGCUCCUCUGCUCCACCCUUCGGAUCCCUUCCUCUGUAGUAUUUAGUUUCUUUGUUAUACGUUGUAUUUAGUUAGUACUUUUCAGAUGGCUUAACUCCCUUUCUCUGUAGUAAUUGGAGCCCAUAAGUGGAGGUGUUUGUUCCUCAUAUGCAACCUUAUUAUCUGAUAUAUAGAUUGGGAAACACAGCAGGAGUUUGAGUUUAUUUUCAUUCAGUAGAACACAACAACAGUAGUAGACUCCCGUAAAAACCAGCAGUCGAACUGAACUAGAAUACUGUGUGUAUUUUAGCUUAAGCAAUCUAGGAUUCACUCCUGGAUGUUAGAGCAACAUAUUUCAAAAUGUAAUUAAUUAAUGUUGCUUCCCACAAAGUAUAUUUCUUUUGUUUCAAUAAGCAUUAUGCACAACUCGAUGCUUGGUGCGACGUCGGAGUUCAUCUUAUUAUAUGAAUAUAGUGGUUGGCAUGCUCAAUUCGUCCUCAUUGGCAUCUGAACCUGAGGCUCCUGACUUACUCAAAUGUUCUCCGGUCAUUUCCCCCUCUCCUACAAAUGUGAUCAAUUUGGCAUGGGUAUGCGUACAGUUGGAAUGAGGCACCAUGGGAAGGAUUCAAAUCUCUGAGAAGUGUGCUAAAUCAAUAGUGCCAAUCGGUUCAGUUUCAGCUUCGAAAACAUUAGGUGAUUGAAAAUGGCAUGCUAUAUUUCUGCAACAAGGCUCCCUAAAUAUUCCCUAUGUUCUAAACUGGAUUCUGACAAGGGUAAAGAUAUGUGAGACAUCCCUCAUUUUAUUUUAAGACCAUUACUUUUUUACCUACCUCUCCUCAUAUAAUCUCUAACAUGGACGGCUCUCUAUUCUCUGUGGUUUAAGGUGUACACCCUGCUAUUUGGUCAGAAGUUCGGGAGUUCAUACUUGGUUGUUUGAUCUCAAGAACACCUUUGAUGACCACGAGCAAAUUGGGCGAACCAGAAGGUACUCGACUCAUUCUAUGCUUUUCUUGACUGCAAUUUCCAUCAAGUAAAUAUAUGAUGUAUUCACACUCCAUUAUAAUCAAUAAUUGCCUUACUGUAAAGGACUCAUUCAUUUUGCGUCCAUUAAUCUUGAACUAUAGAUUAAAUCUUUUUGCUGCAUGUUAAGUUAUGUGUGAAAGGAUGAUUAAUAUGAGGCACACAUUCUUUGUUUUAUGGAUAAUACAUUAACUGCUGCAUGUAUAUCAUCACAAGCAAAAAAUGUGUAUUUUUGAACUUUUUUCCUAAAAAAUAUAUUUUCUUAUGUUCUUGUGUAUUUACGUAUGAUGAGUGUGGGAGGGCUUAUGGCUUUUAUGGUGACGAGUCACGAUUGUCGCUGAUCUCUACUGCCGGUAAUUUAUUUUACACGGUCACCAUCCCAUCUCUUGUUGUUAUGUAUGGUCCAAGUAAAAGAGGCUUUUCCUGCAUUGUUUAUUUGUAUUAGAUGACCAGUACAGGAAGUUGUAGUAGCUUCCCCGUCCUUUUUUAAUGUAAAUGAUGGUAAGCACGAGUUAGGUUCUAUGUCGACCGGCUGUGCAUAUUAUCACAGCAUGUGCUAUGUUGGAUCGUAUCGAUUUUACUGAUGUAGUACAUGAUUUUAUAGUUUUUUACUAGCACAUAUAUAUACAUUUAUUAUUCUUUAUACAAAAAUAAACAUAUGUUGAAAUCUACAGAUAAAUGGAAGUAUGCACCUCUUGCUUACUAAUAUAGGAUGCUAUUUGCGUAUCUGACCAACUUCGAUUUAAUUUCUGCAUGUUCUUACCUUGGUGACCUUAGUGCACAACCUUAUACACUAAUGGGAAGGAAAUAUAAUACAUAAAAAUCUGUGAAAGACCUGGUGGACAAUAAUUUAGCAUGCUUUGUUGUGACAUUUUAGUCGCCUUCUGCUUUAUUGUGACUCUUUCUAUUCAUCCAUUUAGGUACUUCUAGGACACGGACAAUUUCCCUCAAGGUCAAGACCUCACAUCAACCCUUCCAAGCCCCUGAUGAGUGUGUUCCUUUUUUUUAAGUUUCUCAAUGUCACCUCUAUAGGUUUACUUGAGAUGUUAUGUUGCAUAUGUUGUGCUGAGGUUUUCCCACUUCCCUUUUAACUUCUCUGAAGUUGAUCAUCACAUGUUUAUGCAAUUGGACCAAAGCAACGACAUUACUUACAGCUUACCUGGUUAACAUAACAGUUAUGAACUAGGAUGAACUUAUACAUGCAGAGAGAGAGAGAGAGAGGUUGUUUAAAGAAUCCGGUGUCUUUGUGUUUGCCUACAGAAUUCAAUAUUUGUUCAUGUGGUGAUCCUCGGCCUCUCUCUCUCUCUCUCUCUCUCUCUCUCUAUGUGUGUGUGUGUGUGUGUCCUGACUCUUUGUGCCUGUGUUGACCCUUUGUUUGUCCAUGCGAUUUUACUGUGGACUACUCUUUCUAAUUUGGCAUAUAGAUAGGUCAUUUUUAGAUAUUCUAUAGGGUGAUUACUGUUGUUGCAGCGCUGGAUGGCAUGUAGCAGUGCUAGAUCCGGUGGUCAGCCGUCGCCGUUGCCUGUCCUCUUUGAUGCGAGAUCCACGCUGCUCCACUCAGUCCAGGUUCACCCNNNNNNNNNNNNNNNNNNNNNNNNNNNNNNNNNNNNNNNNNNNNNNNNNNNNNNNNNNNNNNNNNNNNNNNNNNNNNNNNNNNNNNNNNNNNNNNNNNNNNNNNNNNNNNNNNNNNNNNNNNNNNNNNNNNNNNNNNNNNNNNNNNNNNNNNNNNNNNNNNNNNNNNNNNNNNNNNNNNNNNNNNNNNNNNNNNNNNNNNNNNNNNCCUCUCUCUCUCUCUCUCUCUCUCUGACCGCUGCUACAUCCAUCAUUUUGGCUUGCAGGCUGCUGGCAUCAUGGAGCUUGAUAAGGUUUCCGGCUGGUUCGCCACAUAACUUGCAGUCCAGGUCGUUAACAUAUUCGGGUUCUAGGUCACAGAAACAAAAUUUGGAGUUAUUUUAUCUGGCUCAAAAUGUUUUGGCUCAGCAAUUUGCUGCAUUAGAUAUCUUUUUGUGCUUAUUUUUUUUGUGAAUUCUACAAUUUGUAGCAUUGAGCUAAACUGACGUUUGUUUUAGUUAACUUACAUUCCUAGAUGUUUUUAAACUGAUAUUAUUUCCAUAAGUUCAGGUUUGUACUUGGCUUUAUCAGAAUUAGAAUAUGCAGAACAUGUGUUGGAGAAGUGCCCAUUUGGUUUUAUGAAAUAAUAUUCAUGUUGAUUGCAUUUUGUUAUAGGAACGCGCAAAGAAACUAAUGUUUGAUCAUGUCGUUGACGGGCUCUGUUAUGAUAAUUCUUUGACAAAGUGGUCACAUUCCACAUGAAGAACCUGUAGUACCAUGUUUUACCAUCUCUAUCGCCACUUUGUUUGGCUUUUGCUUUCUUUUUUUUUCCUGCUCUUAGUACUCGCCCCCUCAUGUUGUACAAGUGAAUGUUUGUUCUUUCUAUUGAACUAAAAAAUCUGAAUAUAUGAGCUGAACCAUGCUUCCUACAAACUUGAUUAUUACCUGCUUGAGAAUAUCGUUGGGACCGGCACCCCGCGCCAAGGCGCGGUACCAAUCUAGUAAUGAAAAUAGGGUAUCAUGAUCAAAGUUUCACUUGCCUUGCCUUGUAUUGACGAAGUUCCUUCAUUCUCACAAUCUUGGUAGUGUUACUCUACGCUCUUCGAAUAAUCUAUCGUACCAAAAGAGAACAAUUCAUGUGAAAUUAUGCGGGGAUAUUGCUCGUGGCUAUUCGAAUAAUUGCGGGGAUAUUGCUCAUGGCUAUUGCGGGGAUACAAGAAAUGAAACAAACAACAUAACUAGGUUGGGUGUAUGGUUUAGGUGUUGAUAGUGUUGCGAGAUUAUGUGUGAAGGUAUUAACUCAAAAGAAUUGAUGGAAUUUGAGAAACAACAUAUAAGUUGUUUAUUGGAUUGCAAGACAUAAGGGUUCAAUUUGAGUUGUAGUGGAUUGAGGUUUCAAUUCAAGUUCAAAUGAAUCAAGGAAAUUUGAUAUUUAGCAUUUCAAUAUGAAUUAUGUGAUGCAAAAGGUUCAUUGCUUAACAUGCAAAAGGACUCAUUGCAACCGGAUUAAUGAUUUAUGAACUAUGAUCAAACAAGUUCAUAUUCAUAUUUGAAUGACCUCAAUUGAAUUCAAAAGUUUUAGUUAAAUAUGAAUCCAUCAUUUGACAUAAAGAUUAAUGUUUGAAAUUCCAAUGAAGUUGAGUUCAUAAUUCAAAGUUAUGUUUGAAUUCAAAUUUGAAAUAAUUCAAACUUGGCAAAAUGAAUUUGGUCCGAACAUGGUUCAAACAUCACAUGGCCAUCGAAUUAAGAACGAUAACAUGACUUAUAGGUUCUCGUGCAAUUAUGGAACAUGUGACAAAAACAGGUCACUUGACUCAGUUUGUCUCGAAAUGCCUCCUCCUCAAAACCUUAAGGAGCUGUGUUCGCUUCAAGGGCGCCUGGCAUACAUUAGGCGAUUCACUGAAAGACCACUCUUUCGUCUAAGGAUGCCUAACCGCCGUACCGAUCAUUCGGGAGGGGGGGGGGAGGGAGGGGGGCACUGCGAGGUGGGUAGUUUAUCUGGGGCGGAUGCCUCCUCAUGUUGGCAUCUUUCAACCUUUCGGAUAACUUCUCUCCAUACUAACCAAGAAGAGCAGGGCGGUUUUACUACCAUUAGCGAGUAGUUCCCUCUCCAUUUUGCAAUGAUCUUUGCAGAGGACAAAGGUACUAGAGAUAUUUCCUCACGUGUGUGGCCCAGCCCAUAAGGGCCAUGCAGACUUGACGUCAUCCCCACCUUCCUCCAUUACACUGGCAGUCCCUCGUGGCACCUUUUUUUUGUUUCGGAGCGGGGCACAUACUAUUACCACUAGGUUCGACACCAUUUUCUAGCCGCAUAAAUACCGACUUAAAAAGGGGCGACUCCCGCCUGUGCUUAAGUUGUUUCAAGCUUGUAAAGACUCGCGAUCGGAAUAUUGACCUGGUUUUCUUUCAGCUGAAACUCUACCUAAUGGUUCAGAUUCCGCAGGUCAAUUGGUUUGGCUAGAAUAGUUUCACGUAUCUCGAAUGGGGACUUGGGUAAUUGGUUUCUAGUUUCUACUAUAUCCUGCAAAGUAAAUGGAAGUUUCUAGCGUUUUGCUCCCUUUAUUCCAUAAUUUGGAGUUAAACUUACUAUUUUGAACUUCCCAAGCCAAUCUUGGCUCAAGACUCAUAAGUGUUUCUGACUUCUAAAUAUUAUUUCUGUUUACUUUGAAUCAGCCUACGUCGUCUCUCUUCCAGAACCUCACAAUCAUCGAAUUUCUCUCAUCCAUUAUAAUGAGAAUUUCUCUUUGUUUAGCAAUAACUUAAUCUUGCAAUAAAACACUCUUGCUUGGAAGGUAUGGUAAAGGUAAACUUUUUCUAUUUUUUGAUAUGAAAUUCAAUUACUUGAAGAGUGAUAUUUUCACAGUGCCAGAUUGGAAUUGGUAUCGGAAUCUUGGUUGGUAGAAGGAAGCUCGGGUAUUGCUUAUUGUUGAAAGCACUCAUUUGCGGCAUUAGGAUUCUAAGAUUUAGGAGGGGAAGGCUGAGGGGAGGGAUCACAUGCAUUGAAGCAAUCUCAAGAUUCAAAAACGAUCAAAAUAAUGGUACGGGGAGAAGAAAGAGAGGAGAGUCACGAAAAUCCCAAGGAAAACCAAAGAAGAAGAAAGCCCUGGUAUUCUCUACUUGAAUUCACGAAGAUUUAGAUACCGAAAGUUCCGGCUCGUGAGUUGAAAGCACUCGUUUGUUCUGGCUCGUGAUGUGUCGGCUCGGGGUUAUCGAAAAGCAAAAGUUCUAUCUCCCCUAUCCAUAGAUUUGAGGAUAGCGAGGCAUACCAACGGCCAAAUGAUUAUAAGCUUGAGGACCCAUUCUAUCCGGGCUUGAUCAUCAUUUAAAUCAAUUCACAAAAUGAUUCAUUUGAUCUGGACUUGUGAUUUCAAUUAUAUGCUCAAUAGUCUUUGAAUAUAAAUUCAAAUAAUUUGAAUUUGCAAGGAUUUAAACUUAGGUGAGACAUGUUCUAAAAGUGUGUUUUGAAUUUUCUGAACAAAAAGCAAAAGGAGUUUUCAAAUUUGGAGCCAUAGACUAAAAGUUAUGAUAAAUUUAAAUGAUUUUGAAUUGGUUACAUGGCAAUGAAAUUGGUUGCCAUGGCAACAUUUCUGAAACCUCUGACAUGGCAGCAAAAAUGGUUGCCAUGGCAACAACUUUUGCUAUUUACUAAAUUUUAUUAGUUCAACUGAAUUUGUGCAAAUUUGACUUUUAGUAGACCUAAUUGAAUAUUCAUUACAUAAGGAUCAAUCUACAAAAAGAUGCACUCAAAUUGAUAUUAUUUUGCAUUUUAGCCCCUAAAAGAUUCAUAUUCAAUCUGCAAUGUGAAAAUUAUUUGCUUCUCAUGAAUAAAGAAUUCAUGAGGUCAGUAUGCAAAGAGAAUCACCUCAUUUUGAGUUGUAUUUAAAAAGUUAUAAGAAGUUGCGGAGGCCUUCCUUCAAAAGUUACAGAUAUUAAAUCGGCAGAAAAUAAAUUAAAGGAAAAAAUUAGAGACACAUGUUGUGCCUUGAUUGGUAGAUACCCAUUCGGCAUGUGAUAUAUAAUACAACAGUUGGAUUUAGAUGAAUUUGGAUGGUCCAAAUCAACCGAUACCCCUUCGAGUCAUAAAUGACAUGGCGUCUUCUAAUUGGUUCAUAUCGGUUCUAAGAUCUAAUCUCAUGCGUGUGUGCAUGAUCAAACGGCUGAGAGAGAUAGAGAUCUCACCACGGUGGCUAGGAUGCCAAACAUGGGUGUGACAACGACCGUGACACAAUUGUGCUCUUUCACUUUUUUUUGAAAGCGCACCCGUGCUUUGUCCUUUUUGGUAAGCACGGCUGUGCUUCUCGUGAAAGCACAGACUAUGUUUUUCAUUUUUGGAAGCACAAUUUUUGAUGAGGACAUGAAUACCUUGGAUAUGACCAAAAAUAUUGUAUAUAUGCAUAUUUGUCAGGUGAUUUCUAGUACAAACUAUUCAAUAAUCUAUUUAUGUUAUCUAGAACAAAAAUACGUCACACACUUUUGUGUUUUGUCUAAUUGCAAGUGUAUAGGACAUUUGUACAAUCCACAUAUGAAGAUAAGGAAGAAAGAGAUGUUUAUUUGUUGUUCAAAAAGUUCUCUCAUGUCACUUUUGGCCCAAGAGAAGAUAGAUUCCAAGUCUCUCACGUUCUGGUUUCAGAUUUGGACUGCACAGACAUACCUGACUCAAAACGCCCACAACUUUUUAAUACGGACUCCGAAUUGGGUGAUUCUUUUUUUGUUGGAAACUACAUUUCGUGUACUUUCCAACCCAAUUGGAAUCCCCUUCAAAUUCGUCCGGAGAGUUGAGCUAUGGACGAAACAAUCUGAUGCUGCAGCAGAAUCCGAGUCAAACUACAAGUCCAAAGGUGUUACAUCACCUCCACUUGGGCCCAUUGGCCUUGUACGACCUAGGGUUAGUUUUAGGCUGCCUUGGGACAUCCUCCCACCUCCUUGGCCGCCACCCCUUGCUUCUAUAUAAGUAGAUCCAUCUAGUAGCUUUUCCCUUGGGAUUUGUUUAGUUAAAAGUUAGCCAUUGCAACUUCGUGAACUUCGUUUGUGUCCAACGACCAGACCAAGACCGCUUACGGAUUCCCACCUUUAUCAAUACUUCAUAUAUACUCACAAUAUUCAGAUUGCUUUUAUCAUAUUCUUGCUUGUUCUUUGAUUGCUUGCAGGAAUAGACCUUUGUGGUCAGGUUGAUUGUGCUCCGGCGUGGUCAAUAACCUCUCGGAGUUGGUUUAGCGAUUGCUAAGGCGCAACGUCAUGCACGUUUGUAGUCGGAUCGUCAAAGUCGUCUCCACCAAAUCGAUAGUUAUCAUCUCAUCGAAAGAUCGGGACACCCCGCCUCUAUCAAGUGGUAUCAGUUUUCAGGUUGCUCGGUGAGAUUUUACAGUUUUUCAUAGUUUAGAUCGCAUCUGUCAUUCAUACCUACAGUCCAUGAAAAAGGCACAGAAAAAAGUUAGAUCUGUUCAUCCUUUAUCCAAGUCAGUCUGAAUCUUUGCAAUUUUCUAUUCAUUGCUUGCAUAGUUGAAUUAUCGGUUGCAUCGUCGUGUCAGUUGCUGGUCUUAGUGUCUAGUUCCUUUAGAGUUUCGAGUUCUGUUCACAUUAGUCACGCCGCCGCUGCAUCAUUAUCCCUUCCACUGUCCACCAUCCCAUCCAUUAAUUUCCACCACGUGCUACGCACUGUUCAUUGUCAUAAUCAUAGUUGAGGUCAUUCACAUCUUCGCCUGAUCUAGUCUGCAUCUUAUCUAGUUUGUCUUGGAAAGAGGGAGAAAAAAAGAUAGAGACAAGAAUGAGAGAAAAAAGGAAAAAAAGAAAAAGAGAGAGAAGAAAAAGAAAAAAAAAGCGUGAGAAAAAAAGAGAGAAGAAAAAAAAGUCGGAUCUAUCUAGAAUCAAUCUCGUACCUGAAUUCGGAUUGGAAUCUGUUUUGCGCACUGUUCAGUAAAACAGGUGUAUCUUCCUCAUACGAAGUUCGUUUUGGCUCGUGAGUACUCAAAUUGAAGCUAGAGACGAGCCGCAUCUAAAUAGUUGCAGAAUCUAGUUCAAUAUUUGACACCUCAAAAUCGGCUUCUAAAUAGGUCUUUUUGUCCUCUGAAGUUCGUGAACACAGCUUGUUCCAAUUUUUCAGGCUAGUUUUAGAAUUCUUUGACUCCUCAUAUCAACUCGGAAUUGAGUGAUUCUUUUUGCAUUGGAAAGCUUGAGUUAGUAUCAUUCUUUGAAAGAAUUUAUAAGAAAAUUGGCUCAAACUUUUCAAGAGGAAAGUUGGAGAGAGAGUUGUUGUAUGUCUUGCUUGGCAGUUGUUUUUCAUCAUUAUCUUCACUACCGUUGUGAUCUUCACUUAUAUCUUGCUGUCAAGAGCUACUUAGUAUCCUUCAUUGAUGCUAGUUGUGCUACACCGUGACCUCAUUAGUGUUCUAGGCUCGCGUCUCUAGUUCGGUCUAGCCUAGGACCAGCACAGUACCGUCGUUGAGCGUUUAUUCAACAUUGCAUCUCUGAAUUGAUUAUUGCUAAUCUUUUGCUACCAUAUAUAGCCAACCCAGCUCCACAUAUUUCUACACCAUGUAUACGUACGUUCCCCUGGCAAUCGCUUUACAUAGUCUUCGGAGUUAUUUGACAUCGCUGGUUGCGUGUCACCACCUGCCGCAUGGUAAGAACUUGUAAGAUAUUGAUAUUUUCUUUACUGUGAGCACUUUACAACCACAUCCUAGUAGUUCAUAGGAACAUUAUUUUCGAAUUUUGUUUCUUGUUUCUACUAAUCAUGACAGGUUCCGGAGAUAGAAGUUCUUGGACGACGGACAUAUCUUCACCAUCACGAGAGUUGGGACAACACACACAAGCACAUGGUCAGGUUAUCUCUUUACCGUCAUUUGAGGGUAGAUUUAAUCCUGCUAUUUAUCUAGCUUGGGAGUUUGAAGUAGAACAAGUUUUUAGUAACCAUGAUUUUUCUGAACUUGAGAGAGUACGAGCUGCCACUAGAGCAUUUACUGGCUUUGCUUCUGUUUGGUGGAGUGUGCAUUGUAAGAAAAAUAUUGAUAAUCAACCCACAAAUUGGAAAGUUUUGAAACCUGUAAUGAGACAACAAUUUUUUCCUCCUUACUAUCAUCGUGAAUUGCUUCGCAAAUUGGAACAAUUAAAACAAGGCAGUAACACCGUUCAUGCUUACUACCAAGAGUUCAAAUAUUAUAUGCAUCAUUGUGACAUAGAAGAAUCUGAGGAUGAUACAAUGAAUAGAUUUUUUGGUGGUUUGAACCAUGAUAUCCGUGCAAGAUUUCACUAUAUUCCUCGUUGCAUUACUGGCAUGUAUGUUCGCGCUUGUACCUUUGAGAGACAGAUACAGGAGGAUGCAUUGGGUGACUACAACAACUACUAUUCUAGUUCAUGCUCACCACCACCGGUUGGUUCCUCCAUCGUUGCACCUACUAGAGCAGCCCCACCUCAGAUUGUGAGCGCGACAUCAUCUCAAGUGUAUGGUGCAUUGUCAACGCCCGUACCUACAUCAGCUACGUAUUUGCGACAAGGUAAGAGUAAAGGUAUUGAUGAUAUAACUUCACAUGAGAAUGAUGCAUCCCUAGUUAAGUUGAAUGCAUCAUGUGUUGAGUUACCUGGUGAUUUGAGCACAUCACCUAUUUUAGAGAAUCUUGAUACGUUAUGACUGUGUCAUGUGAUCAAACAACUGAAAUACCAACAAUUUUGAGUGCACCCAUUGAAUUAACUGUUGAUGCAAAAGAAUCAAUGAUUAACCAUUUUGAUAUGAUCUCUAAUCUUGGUGAUGAUUUUGUGUCGAAUGACUCAUUGUAUGUUUUCUUAUCUAAGCAUGUUGUAGCAUGUAAAUUUGAUUAAAAUAAGGUUUAUUCAUCAAUGUUGGGAUGAUUUAAUGAUGAACAUUGUCAAUCUUUUGAAAUGAAUAAGAGCUUCACUUAUAUGUGCAAACUGAGUUGCAAUAUUUUCAUGCCUUCUAGUUCUUGUGCUAAUUUGUUGGCUUUAGGUUUUAUGAACUAUGCAAGUUACUCAUCUAUUCAUGUGUCAUAUAUGCAAAAAUCAAGGGAAGUAAAAAUGGAUGACAUAUACAUAUACAACAUGUACACCUUGUCUCUUUUGUUAGCCACAUUUCAGAUUAAGCAACGCCGAGGACGGCUUUAUUUUCAAGAAGGGGAGGAUGAUGAGGACAUGAAUACCUUGGAUAUGACCAAAAAUAUUGCAUAUAUGCAUAUUUGUCAGGUGAUUUCUAGUACAAACUAUUCAAUAAUCUAUUUAUGUUAUCCAGAACAAAAAUACUUCACACACUUUUGUGUUUUGUCUAAUUGCAGGUGUAUGGGACAUUUGUACAAUCCACAUAUGAAGAUAAGGAAGAAAGAGAUGUUUAUUUGCUGUUCAAAAAGUUCUCUCAUGUCACUUUUGGCCCAAGAGAAGAUAGAGUCUAAGUCUCUCAUGUUCUGGUUUCAGAUUUGGACUGCACAGACAUACCUGACUCAAAACGCCCACAACUUUUUCAUACGGACUCCGAAUUGGGUGAUUCUUUUUUUUGUUGGAAACUAGAUUUCGUGCACUUUCCAACCCAAUUGGAAUCACCUUCAAAUUCGUCCGGAGAGUUGAGUUAUGGACGAAACAAUCUGAUGCUGCAGCAGAAUCCGAGUCAAACUACAAGUCCAAAGGUGUUACAUCACCUCCACUUGGGCCCAUUGGCCUUGUAUGACCUAGGGUUAGUUUUAGGCUGCCUUGGGACGUCCUCCCACCUCCUUGGCCGCCACCCCUUGCUCCUAUAUAAGUAGAUCCAUCUAGUAGCUUUUCCCUUGGGAUUUGUUUAGUUAAAAGUUAGCCAUUGCAACUUCGUGUACUUCGUUUGUGUCCAACGACCAGACCAAGACCGCUUACGGAUCCCUACCUUUAUCAAUACUUCAUAUAUACUCACAAUAUUCAGAUUGCUUUUAUCAUAUUCUUGCUUGUUCUUCGAUUGCUUGCAGGAAUAGACCUUCGUGGUCAGGUUGAUUGUGCUCCGGCGUGGUCAAUAACCUCUCGAAGUUGGUUUAGCGAUUGCUAAGGCGCAACGUCGUGCACAUUUGUAGUCGGAUCGUCAAAGUCGUCUCCACCAAAUCGAUAGUUAUCAUCUCAUCGAAAGAUCGGGACACCCCGCCUCUAUCAAGAUUUUUGGUCAUAUCCAAGGUAUUCAUGUCUUCAUCAAUUUUGCUUCAUGAUAAUCACAUUAUUGUGCUUCUCGUGGAAGCACAUAUGUGUUUCUCAUAGAAAAGUAUCGCUUCCUCAAAAAAGUAUCCUCCAAAACCCAAGGAUAACCAGGCAAAAACCAAAAAACCAUAAAAACCCAAAAUUCGAUCUAAAUCCCGAAACGUGUACAUAAAAUUAAAAAUAAAAUGGUAUUCAUAGAGAGCGUCCAACACGUGACACAUGGCGACAACUAAGGAUGGCAAUGGGUAGAGUAUGGGCAUGAUAGAGCAAUACCAUACCCAUACCCAUAUAGUCAGUGUGUACAAAAUUCUACCCAUACACAUACCCAUGGGUAUGAAACUUUACCCAUACCCAUACCCGACGGGUACUAGUACCCAUUGUGUCCCCAGUGGGUAGAACAAAUAGUACACAAGUUGUUCACAAUUUUAAGCUCAUUGAUAGCACGUUUGACAAAAAAUCAAUUAUCUCAGCUCAAUAAUAGGUAGAUCAGUAAAUGAACACUAUCAAAAUAUAGAAAUCACAACAUACUCUGAAGUGAAUAGGAGUAGAGGAGUAACAUGAAAAAUUAGUGACUAAUUGAUGACAACUUAAUAUUAGUUCAGAAACGGACAAGAUAUGGGUAUACCCGCGGAUACAAGGCUAUACCCGUACCCUAUCCAUGACUUAACAGGUAGGGUAUGAGUACUACCCAUGGGUAUAAAAGUAUACCCAUAUUCUGCCCAUGCGGGUACGAUACCCGCAGGUACCUGUACCCACGGGUGCACCAUUUGACAUGUUCCCUAACAAAAAAAAAUGACCCUUACGGAAGCUCCCCAAGGGGUAACUGUUAGUUAGUUGCUCCCAAAGAAAUCAGGAUCGAUCCCUCCCAGGAAAUGAUGAGGACAUCAAUACCAUUGUUACACCCACAGCCCCUGCUGCUAUACAUACUGGACCAAUUACUAGAGCUCGCGCACGCCAACUAAAUUACCAGGUACUUUCGUUUCUUGGUAAUGAUUCUAAUGUUCAUGAGAAUAUGAUGCUGCCUAAAUUGGAUACAUUUGUUUUGCUUACAAAUGAAGGUCCUAGCUUGGAGAAGGAUGAACAUUGGAGCAAGAACAAGCAUGGAGAUGAUGGCAUGCGCAAGGGGAACAAGAACAGAGUUACAAGUGAUGAUUUCAGGUCUUUGAAGCCACCAUAACGAGUGCAUGAAGCCUUGGACGAAAUAUACAAGAUGUCACUUCAUAAAUUUCGUCCAGAGACUAUUAUAGGUGCUGCGUCACCUUUUUAUUGGGCCAGGCCCAUGUAAUUUCGAAAUACAUAAGUAUAGGCUAUUUUUAGAGUCCGUAUGUGUGGGGAAACAAGAGAUAGGGUUGAUUUCGGACCCCUCCACCAAGGGCCACGAAAUUCCCCCUCUCUUCCUCCAUAUAUACAGCCCUUAGGGCACCGUUUAGACUUUGGGUUUUGUUUAGAUUAAAGUUUGCCAUAGCUGCAACUUCGCGUACUUCGUUUGUGUUCAACGACCAAACAAAGGCGUCACAGAACCCCACCUUGAUCAAUAAAGCUUUCAUCUUAUAUUCGCAAUAUCCAGAUUGCAAUCUUAGUUUCUUGCUUGUUCUUCGUUUGCUCGCAGGAAACAGACCCUCGUGGUCAGGUUGAUCGUGCUCCGGCGUGGUCAAUAACCUCUCGCAGUUGGUUUAGCGAUUGCUAAGGCGCGACGUCCUCGCAUGUUCGUAGUCGGAUCGUCAAAGUCGACUUCCACCAAAGCGAUAUCCAUCAUCUCAUCGAAAGACGGGACACCUUUGCCUCUAUCAAGUGGUAUCAAAUUUCCAGGUUGCUCGGUGAGAUUUUACAGUUUUUCGUAGUUUAGAUCGAGUCUGUUCUUCAUACCUACAGUCCACGAAAAAGCCACACACAAAAAAUUAGGGUUAGUUCAUCAUAUCCGAACCAAUCUGAGCCUUUGCAUAAUCUUUUUAGGGUUUUGCUUUGUUGAAUUUGCGGUUGCAUCGUCGUGUCUAGUUGCUGGUCUUAGAGUCUAGUCUUUUAGAGUUUCGAGUUCUGGUCAUAAGUUGUCACGCCGCCGCCGCACCAUCAUCAUCGCCCCUGCCAUCUACCACCACCGCUUAUCCGCCACCGCUUCGAAUCCGUAUCCAUAUACCACCACAGCUGUCAUAUACCACCACCGCUGCCAUCUACCACCAUAUAUCCACCACCAAUCUGAGUUCUUGUCAUAUUAGGUUUGUUUUCGAGAUCCAUCUAGAUUCCGAUUCGUGUUUCCUUGCCGGAGUAGGUUUCGGGAAAAAAAAGAGUCCGGAAACCACCCUCUGUUUAGGCCCAAAAUUUUUCGAAAACGCAUUUUUCGAAAAAAUUUCUGGCUAUCCUAUUUUUAGGUGUUUCUGAGUGUUUUGAGACAGGUGCCAUUAUAGGAAGUUUUUUUUGACCCGUUUCCAGUUUUUGGGUCCGGGCAGUUGAAAAAAAAAUUGGUCGAAAAAAUUUCGUGCCCAUCCUGUCAGUUUGACCUAGGAAGAGUUUUGAGACACUCGCCAUUAUAGUGAUUUUUCGCAAAAAAAAACAGCACAAAAAAAAACA
Molecule: long non-coding RNA, 17143 nt
Filed under: Triticum aestivum (bread wheat)
Lineage: Eukaryota; Viridiplantae; Streptophyta; Magnoliopsida; Poales; Poaceae
Description: long non-coding RNA (TAES_LNC022467)
Source: RNAcentral